UAUUUUUGAGCCAAAAAUCUAACGAAGGGAAUUUUUGAGCUAUUUCAAAUAGUUCAGAGAUAUUUUUGACUCUUUCCGUAAUAAUAAUAAUAAAUAAAAUAAGAAAGAAAGACAUAAAACUACUUAGAUUAUGCUAAUUUUAUUUCAUUUUUCAAUCCGUUCAUUCUCUGUUUCUUUCUUUCUUUCUUUCUUUCUCCUUAUAUUUUUUUAUUGCCUAACUUCUUUUUACCUUUUCUUAAACAUUUCCUCCUUAUUUUCCAUGAAAAUUAUCAACCCAAAUUGUAGAAAACAAAAACAAACAAACAAACAAUAAAUAAAUAAAUAAAUAAAAAUAAACUACACUGUUGAAAAAUAAGGACAUGGCUAGAUCUGCCGGUUUUCCGAUGAUUGAUGACGGAAAGGAAGAAAUGGGGCGGCGCUAGUACAGAGAUGGGUUUUCAGCGAAUUUUUUACGUUUUUCGAUGGGAUUUGAGCAGCUGGCAGCGUUGAUUCCGGCAAUUGGGUGGCCGGAGUUGUUGGUUUGGGAUGGGGAGAAGGAAAGAAUGAAGUUGCGGCGGUGCCUGUUGGGCUGGGAUGACGUUUCACCGACCUUGAUUAAUGGCUAAUUCGGUGUCAGGGAUGUGAGAGGGAUGGCGAUGCUAAUUGGGCUUCGCCGAUGGUGGUGAUUCCAGCUAGAUCUGGCGUUGGAGAGGGGAUUUUGUAUGAUGGGAAAGGGGAGAGGGGGACGGUGCCAUUUUCCAACAAAAAUUUGCCAGAGCAGCGACAUCAGUGAGAGGCCGUGGUCACCGACGUUCUAUUUUUAUCUCAUUUCCAGCAAUCUCGGUGAAAAUUUAGUAUGAGACGGGCUUUGGUUUGGGGAUUUUGGUCGGUAUUUUAUGGUUUUCGGUGGAUUUGAGAAAGAUUUCAUUGUGGGAAUGAUGUUUCCGGCAAGUUCUUGCCGAAAAAACCAAGUUUCAAAUGUGCUUUUCUUUCUUUUUUUAUUCUUAUUCUUACAUCUGAUUCUCUCUCUCAUCUCUCAUGCUUUUCCUUUUUAAUGAUAUUUUGUCAUUCAUUGUACUUUGUUUAAUAUAUAUGAAUUUGUGAAUUAGUGUUUUUGUACGUGUGAAUUAGUGUGUGAGUUAACGGUGAUGUGUUGGUGUGUGUAUUGUGGUCUGUGUAUUAAGAAAAACAGAAUGAGUGUGAAUCAGCUUACGUAACCAUUUUUUCUUUCUUUCUUUCUAUUUAAACCAGACAGUAUUUAUACAUAAUAUUUAAAUUCAUAACAUAUUUACUGAAUAAAUAUAUAAACAUUUCGUUAAUUUUACAGUAUAACUUGUGGCAAUAAAAGUUUCAUGUAAUCAAAUACACACACUAACAGUACAUUACACUUUUCAAAUAUUUUUACUCAUGUUUUUCUAUAGCAAAUUUACAAUAAUAGAAUAGGAUCAAAAAUAGAACCUGCAUUCCAACUUAAUUGAAUACGGAAGUAAAACGUUAUCAACGAAAACUCGAACUGAAUUCAAAUUCAACUUGAUUCAUUUUUCCUCUUUUUCAUCUUUAUCUAAUGUUUUUGUUAUUCUCUGAUUUUUUUCAGUGUCUUAGAUAGAUUGUCCGUACUUUUUCUGGGGUUUGAGGAGUCCUUAAGUACAAGGACUUUGGGGGAAACAGUUAAUCACCAGAUAAGAUAGAAAUUUUUAAAUUUUGAAUCCCUUUUUUAUUUAGAAGAUAAUAAUAAUAAAAAUAAUAAAUAAAUAAAUAAAUAAAAUAAAAUAAUAGAUGUAAUAAUAACUGAUUAAUUUUUAUAUUAUGAAAAUACAAUAAAAGUUUAUAAUAGCCAAAAAUAAAUAUAAUUAAGAUAGUAUUAAAACUACUAGCUUAUUUAUUGAAAAUUAAAAAGAUAAAAAUAUUUUUUAAUUUUUGAAUUAUUAUUUUUUAAAAUUAGAAUAUAAAUAAAAUAAAAUAUACUAAAAAUUAACUUCAUUUAGUUAUUUAUUUUUUAACUAAAAAUUUAUUAAAAUAAUAUCAGAUCAAAUAUAAAUAUUUAAUAUCGAAAAAUAAGUUAAAAUUCGAGGAGGAUAAAAAAUCAUGUGUCUACACUUACUUUGUAGUAAAUCAUGCAAUUCUUUCAUUAGACAUCUUUAACAUUUAUCAACAAGUGAAAACACCCUCUCUUCAAUUCACAACCAUUCUCAAAUCAUCUAACAAUAGCCAAGAACAUUUAUACCAGGCUUCUAAAUGUAAAGUUUUAUCAAUUCGCAACAUGUGAAUAUCAAGAAGUAUCAUAACACGAGAGGGAGUGAAAAUAUUCAUUCUCUCAAUUCACUUUCAAACUUCAAACGCAUACUUACAUCUAUAUGAACAAAAAUCAAAUUUAGGGGAAGGCCUCAAGACCAAAACAUUAUCAUCAAUAGGGUUCACAAUGCAUAUUUGUUAAUAUAAAUUCAAAAAAACCUUUGUAAACAUAUGAUUUCUCAAAAUUCAAAACAUUCUUAAAACGAUUUCACCAUGCCCACGUAGUUUAGGAAAACCCCACAUACCUUAUAUUGUUUAGUUGAAGAAUAGAACCCUAAUCUUGACACUUUUCUUGGGAAAUCAUGGAUUGAAAGGCUUGAAUUCUUGCCUUGAAGAAAACCCUAAUUUUCUCUUGUUCUUGAGAGUGAAGAGGAUUUGAGAUGUCAAAAAUUGAUAAAAUAUGGAUUAUAACAUUAGGGUAUGGUUUAAAUUUGUGGGGAACGAGUUAAGGAUGGAAAAAUACCAAAAUAUCCCUUUAAAAUGAUACUUUAGCGUAGGUCUGCCCUUAUGGAUGACCUGAGUGAUGGACCGUCACUCCCGUGAUUGAUCGUCGCUCAAACCAUCACAAAAAACCAUUUUUAGACCUUUUUGUUUCAAGUUGACGGCCUGGCUUGACUGGCUAUCACUAGCUUGAGAGUCCGUCAGUCUGGCUGUCGCACCUCAGCAGACUGACAUCUAUCUGGAAAACGGGCAUAUCUUUUUACUCUAAUAUAGGAUUAAGGCGAAACUAUCAGCGUUAGAAAGAAAACUCGAACAUAUUUCAUUUGAUAUAUAGUAGGCCCUAUAACUCGAUAUAUACAAGGAGUAAUGGUUGAUAGAAGUUGACCUAAGUUGAGACGUUCACCAAAACUUAAUCGAUAGAAGAGUUUUCAACUCGUCUUUGAGUUAGGGGAUUUUUUUAACCUCAAUUCAUAUUCAAAGGGAUUCACACACUAUAGGAUUGAUCAUGUAAUGCUCCGAUUUUUUGAACUGAAAUACUACACGGUGCUCAUGACCCUGAAGGACCACAAGCUAACCUAUGAUUGGUAUCUAUACCUGUACACUGCAUAAUAUAUCAUAAAAUGCGAAAACAUGAACUAAAAGGCCAUAAGGUUCAAGUUGUAACAUAAGAUAUGAUAAAAGUAUAUCAUAUGGUGGGGCAUGAAAUACCCAAAACAAAACUGAAAUAACUGUCUGAACAUAAUAGUCUGGAAAGCCUCUAACUGACUAAGUUGUCUAGUAAGGAGUUGAUGGGACAUGUCCCCAACUAACCCCAACUAAUAAACUAAUUAAUGAGAUAAUAAAGAAAUAACUAAUCAUAUCCUCAAAAGAUGAGGACUCACUUCUAAACUCUGACUGCUGAGACUGAAAUCUACUGCUGCCCUGGAGCUCGUGUCUCUGGACCUAUGGUGUAAAAUAAAAUAAAAAAAGAAACAUCAUAGCGCAAAUGCGUCGGUACGUUUGAAUGUACUGAGUAUGCAAGUGAGUUAGGCUAAAUGUAUGGGGUUCAUAUGCAUGAACAAUAAAAAUACACUAACUAUCAUGAGCGUGAGAAUACAUGCAUGAGACAUAAUAACUAACACUGACACUGUGAAUACAUGGUAACUGAACCUGAGUACAACUAACUAAAUAUUGAUAAUAUGACAUACUGAUAACUGAUAUAACAUAAGUGAUUGUAUCUGACAGUCUUGAAUCUGGUGGAACUAUCUGAGUUUUAUACUGUAUCUGAGUUGACUGUAUCUGACAGUUCUGAAACCUGAAGAACUAUCUAAGUUCUUUUACUGAGGUUGAUACUGAAACUGUGGGAAGUAGUCAUCUAACUGACAUGCCCCAAUUAAGCAAAUAAUGCUGAAUUGGGGUCCAAUCUGUAAUCCCAAUUAGAAGAGUGUCAAUAUCGCGCCACUAGUAAAUACAAACUAUGGGUAACCCUCAUCUGAAAGUGUCCCCAAAAGAAAAUGAUGAGGACCUCAUCUGACAGUGCUUAUCCACCUCAUCAACUCUUAUCUGAUAGUGUUGAUGCCUCAACCUAUGCUGGCUACAUAGUUCUGAAACACAAGGAUGACUGCUAAGAAUCACACCCUCGUCUGACAGUGUGUGUUCCCAUUCUUGGGUUCACUCUGUGCUAAUUUCCACUCCCAUCUGAAGAGACUGAACAUGAUUAACUAACUGUUCAUGGACUGAGCUUCCUAAAUGCCGUUGACUGAUGAAAUACUAUUGAUAUCUGAUAACUGAUUGAGAUCAUGAGAUUUCUAAGAUUUCCUGAGUCACAUGACUGACUGAGUUCUAUGGAACAUGGAUUGAUUGAGGUUAUCAUGAUAAAAUGAAUUGACUCUAGGCACAUAGCUAUAUUUUUCAGGUACAAGUACCCCCAGGACUCGAUGGAAAGAAACUGACACAACCAUGACACUUCUUGAUCAUAGGAACAGAGUUCAUAAUUCAUAAUGCCAUAAAUAGGGGAUGUUAUGCUUUACAUAGUUAUCAUAUUCUUGAUCAUGGAAGGGAAUGUAUGUAACAUAUAAAUACUUGCAUAGUUUCAAUAUCAUGAAAAUUUUAUAACACAACAAUAGCAUGGAAAUUGUGUUGAAUCAUAAGGGUAGCAUGGACUUGUCAUUUGGGGCACUACUAAGUCAUAAAAACAUGAUUUUUAUCAUUCUAGGCAUUUUAUCAAACACCUUACAUGCACAACCUUGAGCAUAGGCGUAUUUGACAAUUUAGCAAUCUUAAAUCACCCAAAUUCAUGGUCUCAACUAACAAGUCCACAUACUUUAUGAAAACACAUCAAGAUACCAUCUUGAAACAUAAAUAACUACCAUCAAUAUGAACACAAUCAUAUUACAACAAGAUAAACACAAUUUAUUAUUUAAAACGUGAUUCUUGAGCUCCAUGGAUGAAAGGGAUCCAUGGAUGAACACUACGCAUACCUGGGUUAUGAUUUCUUGAAGUUUUGUAGAGGAAAACUUGAAUUAUUGGCUUGGAAUUAAGCACCUAGGGUUCCUUGUUCUUGGGAAUUGAUUCUUGAGAGAAACCCUAAUUGUUGUUGUGAAAUAAUAAUGGCUAAAAUGGCUAAAAUCAGAUAUAAUUAAGUAUAUCUAGGCGAUUGGUAAAUGACCAAAGUACCCCUAUUAAAAUGACCUAGAAUAGAUGAACGUAAGGUGCGACGGUGGCUUCCAAUGAUCCUUCGGACCUGCGACAGUCUGUCGAUACCUACCGUCGGACCUGGGCAGAAACUAGUCCCACUGGUUAUGAGCGAUGGAGGAUUCCGAUGGUCUGUCGAACCUGCGACGGUCCAUCGACUGCUACCGUCGUACCUGGGCAGAAAGCAGGUCCACUGCCUCAGUGCGACGAUCAUGCUCAAUAGUUCGUGCCUUGUCGAUGGUCCAUCGACCACACCAUCGUACCUGGGCUAUUUUACUAUCUUCUGCAUUUCGGCCAUAACUUUUUCAUUUGACACCGGAUUUUGAUAAAAUUUGUAUCGAUGGAAAGCUUAUUCAAAUUUUCCACGUGAUAGGAAGUGAAAAUUAUAAAAAUACCAUGUGUAUAAGAAUGAAUUUUUAUUUCAAAUAAAGUUCUAAUAUCCAAUUUUUAAGCUAAGAAAAAGAACGGGUAUUGCAAUAUCUCCUCCUUGAGAACAUUCAUCCUUGAAUGAGACUGGCUGAGAGGGGAAACAAUAAACUGAACAUGAACUGAACAUGAAUAACUGGAACAUGAUCUCAUGACUGACAUGACUGACAAGCUGACCAUAACAUACUGAACAUGCAUAUCUGAUGCAUGCGUAACUGUUUCAUGAAUGCAUGACUAAGUGUUCUGAAGAACUAAGUUUCUCACAAUGAGAAUGCAUGUGGGAUGCAUAAUUUCAUAAUUGAUUGAUACAUAAAUGCAUGAGUGAAUAUGCAAUUGUAUUUGAUACCAAGUUUAUCAUGGGGAUAUGAACAUAAAACUGAACACUAAGUUCGUGAUGAACAUAAAACAUGAAACUAAGUAAGCUUGAGGAGAACUGCUACCUUGAGCUUAAGCUAAGUUGACGGAAAAGAGGUGAGGAUACUUGGUAUGCAUGUCUGCUUUUAUUUCUCAAUGAUCUCCCUCUACGGACUGGCUUCGCCAAAGAACUUUAACUAGAGGUAAUUCUUUGUUCCUCAAUCUACAAGUCUGAUAGUCUAAGAUUUUAACUCGAAUCUCUUCAUAAGAAAGGUUGUACUGAACAUCAAUGUUCUGAAUAGGGACUAUCACUAAUGGGUCACCUAUUCACUUCUUGAGCAAAGAGACAUGAAAAACUGGAUGAACUGAGGCUAGAUCUAAAGGUAAUUCGAGCUCAUAAGCUACCUUGCCAAAGCGACUGAGAAUCUUGAAGGGACCGACAUAUCGGGGACUGAGCUUUCCCUUCUUACCGAAUCUUUUUACUCCCUUCACGGGAGGGAACUUUAUAUAGACAUGAUCACUGAUCUCAAACUUGAGAUCUUUUCUAUGAAUAUCUGUAUAAGACUUUUGUUGGCUUUGAGCAGCCCGGAGUCUUGCUUUGAUCCACUGGACUUUCUCUAAGGCCUCUAAUAUCAAGUCAGGACCUAUGACUGAGGCCUUACUAACUUCAAACCAACCAAGUGGAUAUCUACAUUUCCUACCAUAGAGAGCUUCAAAUGGAGCCAUCUGAAUACUGGAAUGAUAGUUGUUGUUAUAUGCAAACUCAAUCAAAGGCAAGUGGUUAUCCCAACUUCUCUUGAAAUUCACUGCACACGCCCUUAGCAUAUUUUCUAAAGUCUGAAUGGUCCUUUCUGGUUGACCAUUUGUCUGAGGAUGGAAGGAUGUACUAAGAUGAACUUGGGUACCAAGACCCUUUUGGAAUACUUCCCAGAAGUGAGAGGUGAACUAGGUACGUCUGUCUGAGAUAAUAGAUAACAGGACACCGUACAAUCUGACCAACUCUCUAAUGUAGAGUUUGGCAUAAUCCCCGGCUGAAUAGAGGUAUGAACUGGAAGAAAAUGAGUUGAUUUGGUCAUUCUAUCUACAAUGACCCACACCGAAUCAUGAUGAUGACGAGUUCGGGGCAAACCUGUCACGAAGUCCAUGUUCACAACUUCCUACUUCCAAAUAGGAAUACUGAACUCCUGCAUAGGACCACUAGGCUUCUAAUGCUCUAUCUUAACUUGCUAACAUGUAGAGCACUUAGCCACAAACUCUACAACAUCCUUCUUUAUCUCACUCCACCAAUAGAUAUCUCGCAAGUCACGGUAUAUCUUAGUGGCCUCUGAAUGAAUAGAGUAGUGCACACCAUGUGCUUCUGCAAGAAUUCGCUGCCUUAAGUCAUCUACACCUAGAACACAGAGACGACCCUGACAAUAAAGAACACCAUCUCCUCUUUGGUAGAAAAACUUUAUUUUAUGAUUCUGAACUGACUCUUUCAACUUGACAAGGCUGGGAUCUCUAUCUUGAUUUUAUUUCUCCUCAGAAACUAGAGAUGAUUCUGAACUAAUCUGAAUACAUACACCACCCUCUAAAGAAUCGACUAAGUGAACGCCUAGUCUGCCAAGCUGAUGGACUUCAUGAGCUAACUUCCUCUUAUUGUCCUCAACAUAAGAAACACUACCUAUAGAAAGUUUACUGAGAGCAUCAGCCACUACAUUGACCUUGCCCAAAUGAUAAAGGACACUUAUGUCGUAAUAUUUCAAGAGCUCUAACCACCUUCUCUGAAGAAGAUUGAAAUCCUUAUGAGAAAUGACAUACUAAAGUCUCUUAUGAUCCGUGAAGACAUCUACAUGAUCACCGUAGAGAUAAUGUCUCCAUAUCUUUAAGGCAAAUACUACGACUGCUAACUUAAGAUCAUGAGUAGGAUACUUCUUCUCAUGGGGCUUUAACUGUCUGGGGACGUAUGCUAUGAUCUUACCAUGCUGCAUGAGAACACAACCUAAACCCAUUCUGGAUGCAUCAUAAUACACUACGAACCCAUCUGAACCAUCUGGAAGAGCUAAGACUAGAGCUGAGGUGAGUCGAGUCUUCAACUUCUGAAAACUCUUCUCUCAAGUAUCUAACCACUAAAACUUGACCUUCUUCUGAGUCAAUCUGGACACAGGGGAUGCAAUAUAAAAACCCCUCGAUAAACCAUCUGUAAUAUCCAGCCAAACCUAAGAAACUCUUGAUAUCUAAUGAAGAGAUGGGGCGAGGUCAGUUUCUUACUGCUUCGAUCUUUUGAGGAUCAACUCUAAUGCCAUCACCAAAAAUGAUAUGACCAAGGAAUGCUACUGACCUUAGCCAAAACUUGCACUUACUGAAUUUGGCAAAUAAUUGGUGAUCCCUGAGAGUCUGAAGAACAAUUCUGAGAUGGUCUAAAUGGUCUUGCUCACUACGGGAGUAGACCAGAAUAUUAUCUAUGAAGACUAUGAAGAACAUAUCCAAGUAUAGCUUGAACACACGGUUCAUCAAGUCCAUGAAAGCUUCGGGGGCAUUAGUAAGACCAAAGGACAUAACGAAUUUAAAGUGACCAUACCUAGUACGGAAAGCUAUUUUUGGAAUGUCACAUUCUCUUACUUUGGGCUGAUGAUAGCCUGAUCUGAGGUCUAUCUUGAAGAAAUAAUUGGCACUCUGAAUUUGGUCAAACAAGUCAUCGAUUCUGGGAAGAGGAUACUUGUUCUUGACUAUAACUUUAUUGAGUUGAUGGUAGUCUAUACACAUUCUAAAGAACCGUCUCUCUUGUGCACGAAUAAGACUGGUGCGCCCCAUGGGGAAAUACUAGGUCUGAUGAAUCCCUUAUCUAAGAGGUCAUUCAAUUGUUCUUUUAAUUCUAUAAGUUCUGCUGGUGACAUUCUAUAUGGCAGAAUAGAGAUAGGCUAUGUAUCUGGUAGAAGAUCAAUACCAAAGUCUAUUUCCCUUUCGAAAGAAAUUCCUGGAAGAUCUUUGGGAAAGACAUCUAAAUAUUUAUUCAUAACUAGAACUAAUUCUAGAGUAGGAGUUUCGAAACUGGAAUCCUUAACAUGAAUAAGAUGGUAGACACAUCCCUUAGAUAUCAUUUUCCUUGCUCGAAGAUAGGAAACAAGCUGACCUCUGAAAGCAAAUACACUACCCUUCCACUUAAGGAUGGGUUCAUUUGGAAACUGAAACUGGACUAUUCUAUUUCUGUAGUCGACUGUGGCAUAUCAGGAAUGAAUCUAAUCCAUGCCAAGAAUGACAUCAAAAUUAGUCAUCUCCAAUUAGACUAAGUCUGCUGAUGUGACUUUCUAAAAUAUCAUAAUCGGGCAGUUCUUGUAUACCCGUCGAGCUAUGAUGGUUUUACCCACUGGGGUAGAAACUGAAAAGAGUUCUGCUAGAAUUUCAGGAAUGACUCCGAAAUCGACUGCUAUAUAGGAAGUAACAAAAGACAAAGAUGUACCUGCAUCUAGCAAAGCAUAAACAUGUACAUGAAAGAUCUGUAAUGUACCAGAACUACAUCAGGAGAAUUUUCCUGAUCCUGUUGGGUUUGGAGAGCAUAGAUUCUAUUUGGGCGUUGCCCACUAGUAGCAGUGAAAGUGUGAUAUGCCUAAAUUACACCUCUCUUACGAGAGAGUAAGCGGUCAUUGUCAAAUAUAUAACCCAACUAGAUUGGGGUCGAAUCCCACAGGGAAUAUGGUGUUAAUUAAGUUGUAUACAGAUUAGUUGACUUUUAAUCAUUCGUUUCAGUAAAAUAAAUAGGGGGGAUUUGAUUCAGUUUACAAAUUAAUGGCUUCAGUUUAACAAGAUGAAAUAUGUGUAGUAAUAUUCAAAUUCAGAGAAAUAGUAAGCUAGGGUUAUGUCCACCUUGUAGUUUUCAAUACUUACUAACUAUGGGCUUUAUAAAUUCAUACAUGCAUUAUGCUUACAGAGAAACGUAUUGUAUUUAAUAACAUAAUCCUAGUGUUUCUCAACCAUCAAGGACUAAUUCACUUUAGUUCUCUCGAAUCAAAAGCGUUCACCAAAAAAAUAUGAAAUCUCCAAAUAGUUAAUCUUGCUAAGGCAUUAACUUAUAAAAUAGGGGUUGGUAAUUCUAUUUUCUUAUCACUACUCUCUUUUCCAAACAUCAACUUUUCUUUCAAACAAGUUGUGUUUUAAGGCAUAUCCUCGAUGUUUGCAACCACGAAAAUUCAAGAUAACCGAAGAGAGUAUGAUAUAAAUAAGUCAAUGCAUAAUGAAUUCAAAACCCUAAGUGAUAGAUUGUAUGCUACAAGGAUUCCAUAACCCUAACUAAUAAACUUAGCUACUCAUGAAUAAAACGAAAAACAUCAUAAAUAUAUUCAUCAUACCAAAAACUAAAAGAAGAUCUUAGUGUGUGAAUCAUGAAAACAAGAGAGAAAACAUUUUUCUCUAUCUCCAGGCUAAGCCGCCACUCUCCUGGUUUAGAAUAAUACAGAAUAAUCAAUAAUGAAUAAAAAUUGAACAUUAAGCCUUUUGAUAAUCUUUUCUCUCAUAAUUGCCUUCUAAGUCCCUAAACUAGUUAUAAAUGACAAACUAGUCCUGGACAUAUUUUCUAGGCGCCACAUUUGGUCAAGAUUGCUACUCUCUCUUGUUUCAUAUUCCAUCCGCAUUCCAUAGUCCAAUAAUGUCUUCAUCUAUCUCAUUAAUACCUGAAAUCAUGCUAAUCACAUCGGUUAGCUCAAUUACAUAGAAGUAGAGUUAAAACAUAAGAAACUAGGCACUUUGUUCUCUAAACAUAGCUAAAAUAUGGAUAAGUUAUGGUUCUUAGGCGUGUAAAUACACCCAAUAUCAAAGUGGAACCCUGCUAAUUUGGACGAUCAGACUGAGCUGUGAAAAGAUUCUCCUGACAUUGAGAACCUAUCUGUGGACACUCUCGAACUCUGUGGCCUGGAUUUUCACAUCCGAAACAAACAUCACUACCAGAUCUACAAACAUCCUUGUGGUUCUUACCACAAGUCUGACGAAGGGGAUAAGUGCGGGCGCUGCUAAUAUUUCCUUGAGUCUGAGAGCCUGGCGCUCUAUCUCUGAACUUAGGAGUAGGAGCACUGGAUGAAGAAGGAACUAGAACUGAUGGCUUAGUAUGAAAUUGAGAAUGGUUUCCUUCUUCUGAUUUGGGCUGAGAAAAGUUGAAACAGUCUGACCUUACUUUCUUAUGCUGCCUCUCCGUAAUACCCUGAGAAUUUCAACUAAUAGUAGAACCCUGUUUCAAGCUCAUUAGAAAUAUAUUUAGUGCUUUGGUAGCUACAUGAUCUAGCUUGAUGAGUAUUAAGGCCCCAAAAGUGUCCUAGCUAUUAGACGAAUCAAAACAUUCCUUGCCAAUUGAAUUUUUGAGAUAGAUAUUAGUAUGGUCAACUUCAAACGAGCAUAUCUCUUGUUAUACUAUGAAUUUCUGAGCUCAUGUCCCACCAAAAGAUAGAUACUUGAAUUAGCUUUCCAAUUAUACUAAUUUCUCCAAAAUCCAUUAUCGGAGCAAAGAGUUAUGCCCAUUUUACUCCAGCAUAUCAUCCUGGAAAUUUCAUGAAGACAUUUUGUGACGACUUGUCACAAAAUGUCGUCACCAUAAGCAAAAAGUCACAAAAUCCAACAUUUUGUGACGACUUGUCACAAGUUUGAUGGUUUGUCACAAAAUGUCGUCAACCUUAAGCCGAAAAUCAUAAAAUCCACCCUUUUGUGAUGACAUUUCAUGACGACUUGUCACGAAUGUCGUCAACUAUUUUUUUCAUCAAUUUAAUGACAUUUUUGCAAGGGUAUUUUGGUCCUUUUUUCUACACUUUCCAUGACUUAUAACCCUCAGAGAACAUAUUUUCUUCUAUUUCUCUUUAGUUAAACAUCUCAAAAUUCUCUGCACACCUUCAACCACAAGGUUAGGGUUUCAACAUAAAAACCCAANNNNNNNNNNNNNNNNNNNNNNNNNNNNNNNNNNNNNNNNNNNNNNNNNNNNNNNNNNNNNNNNNNNNNNNNNNNNNNNNNNNNNNNNNNNNNNNNNNNNNNNNNNNNNNNNNNNNNNNNNNNNNNNNNNNNNNNNNNNNNNNNNNNNNNNNNNNNNNNNNNNNNNNNNNNNNNNNNNNNNNNNNNNNNNNNNNNNNNNNNNNNNNNNNNNNNNNNNNNNNNNNNNNNNNNNNNNNNNNNNNNNNNNNNNNNNNNNNNNNNNNNNNNNNNNNNNNNNNNNNNNNNNNNNNNNNNNNNNNNNNNNNNNNNNNNNNNNNNNNNNNNNNNNNNNNNNNNNNNNNNNNNNNNNNNNNNNNNNNNNNNNNNNNNNNNNNNNNNNNNNNNNNNNNNNNNNNNNNNNNNNNNNNNNNNNNNNNNNNNNNNNNNNNNNNNNNNNNNNNNNNNNNNNNNNNNNNNNNNNNNNNNNNNNNNNNNNNNNNNNNNNNNNNNNNNNNNNNNNNNNNNNNNNNNNNNNNNNNNNNNNNNNNNNNNNNNNNNNNNNNNNNNNNNNNNNNNNNNNUUCCAUAACCCUAACUAAUAAACUUAGCUACUCAUGAAUAAAACGAAAAACAUCAUAAAUAUAUUCAUCAUACCAAAAACUAAAAGAAGAUCUUAGUGUGUGAAUCAUGAAAACAAGAGAGAAAACAUUUUUCUCUAUCUCCAGGCUAAGCCGCCACUCUCCUGGUUUAGAAUAAUACAGAAUAAUCAAUAAUGAAUAAAAAUUGAACAUUAAGCCUUUUGAUAAUCUUUUCUCUCAUAAUUGCCUUCUAAGUCCCUAAACUAGUUAUAAAUGACAAACUAGUCCUGGACAUAUUUUCUAGGCGCCACAUUUGGUCAAGAUUGCUACUCUCUCUUGUUUCAUAUUCCAUCCGCAUUCCAUAGUCCAAUAAUGUCUUCAUCUAUCUCAUUAAUACCUGAAAUCAUGCUAAUCACAUCGGUUAGCUCAAUUACAUAGAAGUAGAGUUAAAACAUAAGAAACUAGGCACUUUGUUCUCUAAACAUAGCUAAAAUAUGGAUAAGUUAUGGUUCUUAGGCGUGUAAAUACACCCAAUAUCAAAGUGGAACCCUGCUAAUUUGGACGAUCAGACUGAGCUGUGAAAAGAUUCUCCUGACAUUGAGAACCUAUCUGUGGACACUCUCGAACUCUGUGGCCUGGAUUUUCACAUCCGAAACAAACAUCACUACCAGAUCUACAAACAUCCUUGUGGUUCUUACCACAAGUCUGACGAAGGGGAUAAGUGCGGGCGCUGCUAAUAUUUCCUUGAGUCUGAGAGCCUGGCGCUCUAUCUCUGAACUUAGGAGUAGGAGCACUGGAUGAAGAAGGAACUAGAACUGAUGGCUUAGUAUGAAAUUGAGAAUGGUUUCCUUCUUCUGAUUUGGGCUGAGAAAAGUUGAAACAGUCUGACCUUACUUUCUUAUUCUGCCUCUCCGUAAUACCCUGAGAAUUUCAACUAAUAGUAGAACCCUGUUUCAAGCUCAUUAGAAAUAUAUUUAGUGCUUUGGUAGCUACAUGAUCUAGCUUGAUGAGUAUUAAGGCCCCAAAAGUGUCCUAGCUAUUAGACGAAUCAAAACAUUCCUUGCCAAUUGAAUUUUUGAGAUAGAUAUUAGUAUGGUCAACUUCAAACGAGCAUAUCUCUUGUUAUACUAUGAAUUUCUGAGCUCAUGUCCCACCAAAAGAUAGAUACUUGAAUUAGCUUUCCAAUUAUACUAAUUUCUCCAAAAUCCAUUAUCGGAGCAAAGAGUUAUGCCCAUUUUACUCCAGCAUAUCAUCCUGGAAAUUUCAUGAAGACAUUUUGUGACGACUUGUCACAAAAUGUCGUCACCAUAAGCAAAAAGUCACAAAAUCCAACAUUUUGUGACGACUUGUCACAAGUUUGAUGGUUUGUCACAAAAUGUCGUCAACCUUAAGCCGAAAAUCAUAAAAUCCACCCUUUUGUGAUGACAUUUCAUGACGACUUGUCACGAAUGUCGUCAACUAUUUUUUUCAUCAAUUUAAUGACAUUUUUGCAAGGGUAUUUUGGUCCUUUUUUCUACACUUUCCAUGACUUAUAACCCUCAGAGAACAUAUUUUCUUCUAUUUCUCUUUAGUUAAACAUCUCAAAAUUCUCUGCACACCUUCAACCACAAGGUUAGGGUUUCAACAUAAAAACCCAAUUAUCUAGGGAUUCAAUCGUGAGAAUUCAAUAAUUCUUGCAUAUUUGAAUUCCCCGUUAAGAGGGCUAUGAGGGACUCCCAAUAGUUUGUGAAUAACCUUCUGAAAUUUUUGAAGUCAUCCAAAAGCUCCAAGUUUAAGGUAUGUCGUUCAAGAACACCCUUUUGUUCUUGUGCCCAAAAGUUACAUAUUUUCAUAAAGUAUUUCGUAAAUUCAUGGAGAAUUCCUAUCAUGUUAUUAUAUUGUGAGUUUUAUGAAACUAUGUCUUACCUAAGCUUUGAGUUGUAAUAUUAUUAUGCAUAUUAAUGUUUUAAAUUGUCAAUUUAUGNNNNNNNNNNNNNNNNNNNNNNNNNNNNNNNNNNNNNNNNNNNNNNNNNNNNNNNNNNNNNNNNNNNNNNNNNNNNNNNNNNNNNNNNNNNNNNNNNNNNNNGCUCCCAUUAUAUAUAUAUAUAUAUAUAUAUAUAUAUAUUAUUGAAUUGUUUUAAGGUGGAUUUUCUAAAGUUUUGAGCGAAGUAAGGGAGUAGUAUUUAGUACUGAGUUGGGCUUGAUUCCGAGGUCGCAUGCCCCAGAACUACCCCAAGUGGGUUAAGAUAGUGAUCACUAAAGUUAAGGUUUUAUCCGAUGGCAAGGAUAGAACAGCUCUCCCCAACAUGGAUAAGAUAUUGGACUCCAUGUAGCUCACGUGAUUUAUGUCGGUUAAGAGAAACUCUCCAAGUUCCUAAAGUUCUCUAAGUCCUAAAGUCUUCUAAGUUUCAAAGAGUUUUAGACUUAAAGUUACAAAGUUUUAAAAGUAUAAGUGUUUUUGAAAGCUAUGGUCCUAAUAAUUUCAGGUGUCAUGAUAAUUUGAGGUUUUAAGUAAAAGCAUGAUGAUUUAUGAGUCUUGUGGCAUAUAUUUAUUUCAAGCUAUGUGAGUAUGUUUUACACCAUGCAGGUUUUCUAUAAAAGCUUAUGAUAUUGAGUAUUUUAACUGCACACUCCCCCAUAUGUACUCCCUAUAUGCUCAGUACAUUCCCAAAGUACUGACCCAAAUAUUUUGUCUGUGUGCCAUAUAUUCUCGUAAUGUAUGUUCAGGUGCUCAGUCUCAGCCUUACCAGUGAUCCUUUCGAGCACUCCUAUCUACAUAUCGGCCGUGGUGAGUCCUUAUGUUUUGGGGACUGGUUAUUCUCAAACUUCCAAUUUUAUUUAGUAGCUGUUUAAUUCUUGUCAAUUGAGUAUGAAUCAGUUGGGGACCUGUCCCAGCGGAUCUCUAGUUUAGAGUAGUAGAGGUUUGUCUGACUAGUCAUCAGAUUAUCAGCACUUCGAGAUUUUCUUUGAGUUGUAGUUUGUUCAGAUCAAGUAUUUCAUUCAUAUUUCUCAUUUUAUGAUUUCACAGUGUUGAGUUCAUGAAUUUUAAUCUCUAAGUAAGCUAAUAUAUGAAGUAGAAGGCUCAAAGGUUAGCUUGGGGCUACUUGUAGCCUUAAGCACCAUGUGACGUUCUGGGACACGGUUGUGGGACGUUACACUCUCCUUUAUCCUAACUUUCUGCCCCUCUAUCUACUGAGCAUGAGUUAUAAGCCUAGCUAAAGUUAUGUCACUAUUCAGCAUGGCAGAUAUACACUCAUUAACCACGCUAUCAUUCACCCCUAACACGAACUUACUUAUCUUAGCCCUAUUGUCUGCAACCACAUGAGGCUCAUAUCUGGAUAAUUGAGUAAACUUCAGGGAAUAAUCUUUCCCCAUCAUAUUGCCCUGCCUGAGGUUGACAAAUUCUAGCACCUUAUCUUCUCUAAGCUCUUGGGGAAAGAAUCUGUCUAAGAAUGCAGUGACAAACUCCCCCCACUCUAAAGGACCUGAAUUAUCUGACCUUUCUGACUUCCACUAUUUGAACCAAGUAUGAGCAACAUCCUGCAAAUGAUAUGCAGCUAGCUCUGCACUCUCAAUAAUAGUCACCCCCAUAAUGUCUGUCACCUUCUGAACUUGAUCAAUGAAUUCCAGAGGGUCUUCAUCUACCUUAGACCCGAUAAAGAUUGGAGGAUUCAUUCGGGUGAAGUCCCGAAUCCUAGUGCAGCUGAAUUGGCCACUGGUUUGGCCGGAAUAACAGCUAGUUGUUCAUUUCGAGCAGUAACUGACUGCACAAGAGUAGUGAAUACGGCCCUGAACUCCGCAUGAGAAACAUGCUCGCCCAAAGGUUCCUCGGGCUGAAAGGCUGACUAAUUUUUGUUUCUUCUUUUAGGAGGCAUGUUCUGUAGAAGAAAGGGAGAAAUGGAUUAGAAUGAGAGAUUGAAUUGUGAUUAUGCUCACAGGUACGACAUGAAUACUGAAAGAGGGAAAAUUAUUCUUAAAACAUCUCAUAGCCUCUUGCACAUAAAUGUGGCAUACAACACACCUAUGUACAAGACUCUACUAGAUAUGGCUUUCAGACUUCCUAGGACUCUAUUGAACCUUAGGCUCUAAUAACAAGUUUAUAACGCCUUGAUUUUCUGAACCGGAACACUACACAGUGCUCAUGACCCCGAAGGACCACAAGCUAACCCAUGACUGAUAUUUGUAACUGUACACUGCAUAAUAUAUCAUAAAAUGUGGAAACAUGAACUGAAAGGUCAUAAGGUUCAAGCUGUAACAUAAGAUCUGAUAAAAGUAUAUCAUAUGGUGGGGCAUGAAAUACCCAAAACAAAACUAAAAUAACUGUCUGAACAUAAUAGUCUGGAAAGCCUCUAACUGACUGAGCUGUCUAAGAAGGGAGUUGAUGGGAUAUGUCACCAACUAACCUCAACUAAUAAACUAAUUAAUAAGAUAAUACAGAAAUAACUAAUCAUGUCCUCGAAAGAUGAGCACUCACUUCUAAACUCUGACUGCUGAGACUGAAAUCUACUAUUUCCCUGGAGCUCGUGUCUCUGGACCUGUGGUGUAAAAUAAAAAUAAAAAAAAUACCAUAGCGCAAAUGCAUCGGUACAUUUGAAUGCACUGUGAGGUAGGCUGAAUGCAUGGGGUUUAUAUGUAUGAACAAUAACAACAAACUAACUAUCAUGAGUAUGAGAAUACAUAUAUGAGACAUAAUAACUGACACUGACACCGUAAAUACACGGUAACUGAACCUGAGUACUACUAACUAAAUAUUAAUAAGAUAUACUGAUAACUAAUAUAACAAAAGUGACUGUAUCUGACAAUCCUAAAUCUGAUAAAACUAUCUGAGUUCUGUACUGUAUCUGAGUUGACUGUAUCUGACAGUCCUAAAACCUGAAAAACUAUCUGAGUUCUUUUAUUGAGACUGAUACUGAAACUGUGAAAAGUAGUCAUCUAACCGAUAUGCCCCAAUUAAGCGAAUAAUGUUGAAUUAGGGUCCAAUUUGUAACCCCAAUUGAAAGGGUGUCAAUACCACACCACUGGUAAAGACAAACUGUAGUAACCCUCAUCUGACAGUGUCCCCAAAAGAGAACGGUGAGGCCCUCAUCUGACAGUACUUAUCCACCCCAUCAACCCUCAUCUGACAGUAUUGAUGCCUCAAGCUAUGCUGGCUUAAUAGUUCUAGAAUGCAAGAAUGGUUGCUAAGAAUCACACCCUUACCUGACAGUGUGUGUUCCCAUUCUUGGGUUCACUCGGUGCUAAUUUCCACUUCCAUCUGAAGAGACUGAACAUAAUUAACUGACUGUUCAUGGACUGAGCUUACUAAAUUCCGUUGAAUUAUGGAAUACUAUUGAUAUCUGAUAACUGACUGAGUUCUAUGGAACAUGGCUUGACUGAGGUUUUUGUGAUAACAUGACUUGACUCUAGGCACACAACUAUAUUUUUUGGGUACAAAUACCCCCAGAACUCGAUGGAAAGAAACUGACACAACCAUGACACUUCUUGAUCAUAGGAACAGAGUUCAUAAUUCAUAAUGCCAUAAAUAGGGGAUGUCAUGCUUCACAUGGUUAUCAUAUUCUUGAUCAUGGAAGGGAAUGCAUAUAAUAUAUAAAUACUUGCAUGGUUUCAAUAUCAUGAACAUUUUAUAACACAACAAUAGCAUGAAAAUUGUGUUGAAUCAUAAGAGUAGCAUGGACUUGUCAUUUAGGGCACUACUAAGUUAUAAAAACAUGAUUUUUAUCAUUCUAGGAAUUUUAUCAAAGACCUUACAUGCACAACCUUGAGCAUAGUAUUUGACAAUUUAGCAAUCUUAAACCACCCAAAUUUAUGGUCUCAACUAACAAGCCCACAUAAUUCAUGAAAAUACAUCAAGUCACCAUCUUGAAACAUAAAUAAUCACCAUCAACAUGAACACAAUCAUAUCACAACAAGAUAAACAUAAUUUAUUAUUUAAAACGUGAUUCUUGAGCUCCUUGGAUGAACACUAUGCAUUCCUGGGUUGUGAUUUCUUGAAGUUCUGUGGAGGAAAAGUUGAAUUAUUGGCUUGGAAUUAAGCACCUAGGGUUCCUUGUUCUUGAGAAUUGAUUCUUGAGAGAAACCCUAAUUGUGUUUGUGAAAUAAUAAUGGAUAAAGUGGCUGAAAUCAGAUAUAACUGGGUAUAUAUAGGCGAGUGGUAAAUGACCAAAAUACCCUUAUUAAAACGACCUUGAACAACUGAAUUUAAGGUGUGAUGGUGGCUUUCGAUGGUCCGUCGGGACCUACCAUUGGACCUGGGCAGAAACUGGUCCCACGUGUUAUGAGCGACGGUGGCUUUCGAUGGUCUAUCAGACUUGCGAUAGUCCGUUGACUGCUACCAUCGUACCUAGGUAGAAAGCAGGUCCACUGCCUCAGUGCGACAGUCAUGCUCGAUGGUCCAUCACUUGUCCGACGGUCCGUCGACCACACCAUCGUACUUGGGCUGUUUAACUGUCUUCUGUAUUUCGGUCAUAAUUUCCUCAUUUGAUACCGGAUUUUGAUGAAAUUAGUAUCGAUGGAAAGCUUAUUCAAAUUUUCCACGUGAUAGGAAGUGAAAAUUAUAAAAAUACCAUGUGUAUAAGAAUGAAUUCUUAUUUCAAAGCAAGUUCUAACAUCCUUGAGAUGAUUUUUAAGCUAAGAAAAAGCACGGGUAUUAUAGAUUAUCACACAUAUAUUAACAAAGAAUCAUUGAGUUCGGGUCUAUAUGCAUAGAAAAAAUGGUUCAAACUUUAGCUCGAAAGUGUGGGGUGUUACAGUGUAGCUAAUAGACAUUGGGGCUCUUUCAACAGGAAGAGCCGAACCCAUAUAUCUCAUGCGUACCUUUAGGAAUGAAACGAGCUACAUAGUUCAGGUUAAAAUCUUUAAACUCUCAUAUUCAUGAUCCUUGUCCCCAUCCUGGCAUCCUGUAUAUGUAUAUAUAAAUGUUGUGCAUGUAGUUUUGACUGGUUAUUGCAUUAGCACUAUUUUAUCCCUUUCCCUAAGUUACAUGCCAGUGCUUAUGCUACUAACUAUCCCUAAACGCUACAUUAUUUCAUGAUAUAGGGUUCAAAGGGUUUUUUGUUGCUCCUGUGCAGCAUUAGGUGGUUCGGUUUAUCUGUUGAUCUGCUGUGAAGUGGUGAGCCUCCAUCUUUCAGAAGGUCUGGUCAUUUCAUUGGUACAUUAUCAUCUUAGUACUCUUUUGAUCCUUUUUGUAAAAGUCGUGGGCAUGUCUCGACUUAGUUUGGUAUUCUAUCUUUUAGAGGCUUUUGUGGACAGGAUUUGGGAUGUCAUUUAUGUCUUACUUUGACUCUAUAAAUUAUCUUUUGAUUUUAUAUAUCUUUCAUUAGUUUGGUUGACUUCUGUUGUUUAUCAUUUAUUAUGCUCUAGGGGUUACGUUAAGGGGGUGGUAUCCGGCCCACGGUGUGCUUGAGAUACCUUUCAUGAUUAGGCAUAGGUUCAAGAUCGUGACAUCGACCCCUAGGAAUUUGUUUAGAAUAUCGCAAACGCAAAGGAACUAUGCAACUAUGCUAAUUUUGAUGUGUCGAACUCAAUAGCAAAGUUGUAUUUUUGUAAAAAAGGUUGUUUUUAACAAAUUAAUCCUCGAGACCUCUUUUCACUAUCAUUCAAAUGGAGGGUCGAAAUAAGAUAUGAAGGUCUCGUGAUCGAACCAACCCUGCUACUAACAUAAAUUUGAUAUUUCGAAUCUACUGGCACUUUUUGAUUUUUCAUCCAAUACUAGGAUCAUCAAAUAUUGACCAAAGUCAACUAUAUGGCUCCAAGUCUCUAAAAACCACAAACUCUCACAAAUCAUUUCCGAUCGAAGAGGAACCAUGCCAACCACCUCCAAACCCCAAAAUCAACAUGUAGCAACCAUGGAGAGGAAAUAAAUGGUAAAAACAACUAGAAAUGGAAAAUUCACAUGUUUAGGUCAUUAGAUAAAUCCUCUAAGCAUUAUUCAAAUAGUGAACUGAAGGAUUGCGUCCCGGCAAUAUGCAUUGGCAAUAGGUCCACAAAUGUCAUUUUGCAUCUGCAAAAGGAGGAAAUAUUUUUCUCAGAUUUUCAAAUUAAAUAAUCAUCAAACAAUUAAGUUUCAAAUAAGUUUUAUCCCAAAAGAUAGACUCAAGCCAAAGCCAAGCCAAGCGAUGAUGAUGAUGCAAGUCUUGUCUUUUUCUUACCUUAGUAACAACGUGGAGUAGUGCUUUUAUACUUAAACAUAAAAAAUUUCAUUCUCUCACCAAUAUUGGAGAAACACUUCUUUUAUAAAGUGAAAACAUAAUUCACUUUUUUCCUCCAUUUUCCAUUAUGAUUUUGUCGCUAAAACCAACAUAAAUCAUAUGAAAGAUGUAUUCUCAUCUUCCAUAUUAUUUUGCUGAUUGUAAGUUAGAUUCCUUGAUUACAUUUAAAGGUAUGGUCUGUGCUCUACAAAUGUAAUUCAAAUGUAAUUCAGUAAUUUACAAUUAUGAAAUGGGAAAGACAGGGCCAUGCGUGACCCAUAACACCUAGGUAUCCUAACUAUGGUGAUGACAAUUUCAUUAAAAAACGAAAAGUUUUUUUUUUUUUUUUUAAUUAAAAGGGAGGCUUAUAGCCGGGAUCAUACUUUGUUGACAGUUUCAUAGUGAAAAGUGAUAUAAUAUAUACAUUGAAUGUUACUACUUCCUUGUUGCAGAUUUGAAAAUAUCAUAGUUUCACGUUGAGGCACUUGUUAUUGCGCAGCUUCAAAGUUGUAUGGUACUGUAAUUUUCUUUCUUUCUAAAAAUAGUAAAGUAAUACAGUCAAACUUCAGAAUUCAAAUAAAUUACAUCUUGAUGGGAUAAUAAAGAUAGGAUCUUGCUAAUUAGUUGUGAGCAUCAACAUAUUGGAAAACUAAAAAGAUAUAAGUAGGAGAGUAUAAGCGGAUUUUUCCAAUAUGAAUUAUUUGUAUUAGUAUAAUUUGACGGGUGCUACAAUUUAGUUAUUACAUUAGUUGGUUAUGGUUAUCGCUCCUCUUUUGAAUGUUAUGUUAUGUUUCGUCUAUUAUUUUUUAGGUCAAAGGCAUUGAUAGUCACUCAAAUUUAUUGCGAAAAUUCACUUAAACCCCUAAACUAAUGUCUAUUCCUAUAAGACCCCUAAACCCCCAAAUUUUGUUUCAAUUGGGCAUUUUUUGCCUAUGUGGCACUGCGCGUGCAGUGCCAUAGUGGGAGGCGCGUGAGGAACAUUUUUUUUUUUUACUAAUUUACGAAUAAAAAGUUGCCAAGUGGCAUUGACGGGCCCAAAAUUUUUUUAAUAACAACUUUUUCUUUAAACCCCAAAAAGCAUUAGAGGACCCCAAUUUUUUUUUAAUAAAAUUGAAUUUAAAAUAAAUUUGUUUUUUAUUUUCAUCUUUUAAAAAAUUUUAUAAUUUUUUUUUAAUAAUUAUUUUGUUAUUUUUAUUUUUUAAAUAAUUUUAUAAUUAUUUUUUCAUAAUUUGAAUCCUCAAUUCCAUUUUUUAUUUUCAUUUUAAAAAGUUUUAUAAUUUUUUUAAUAAUUAAUUUUUAAUUUUUCAAAUAAUUUUUUCAUAAUUUAUUUCAUUUUUAAAAAAUUUUUUUUAAAUUUUUUUUUUUAAAAAAUUUUUUUUUUUUUUUUUUUUUNNNNNNNNNNNNNNNNNNNNNNNNNNNNNNNNNNNNNNNNNNNNNNNNNNNNNNNNNNNNNNNNNNNNNNNNNNNNNNNNNNNNNNNNNNNNNNNNNNNNNNNNNNNNNNNNNNNNNNNNNNNNNNNNNNNNNNNNNNNNNNNNNNNNNNNNNNNNNNNNNNNNNNNNNNNNNNNNNNNNNNNNNNNNNNNNNNNNNNNNNNNNNNNNNNNNNNNNNNNNNNNNNNNNNNNNNNNNNNNNNNNNNNNNNNNNCAAUGCCAUUUUUUUAUCUUAAUUUUAAAAAACAAAUUAUAAGGUUUUUUAAUAAUUAAUUCUUUUAAAAAAUAAUUUUUUAAUAAUUUAUUUCAUUUUUUAAAAAAAUUUAUAAUUUUCUUAAAAUAAUGAUUUUUUUAUUUUUAUUUUCUAAAUAAUUUUAGGAUUAUUUUUUAAUAAUUUCCUCAAUGCCAUUUUUAUAUACUUUUUUUGAAAAAAUUAUAAUUAAUUUUUAAUAAUUAUUGAACCCACAAUGCCACGUGUCAUCUUUCAAUUAGCUCGUUUUGUCACGUUAUCGCGUGUGUGCAACACACAAUUUGACCUUUUUUGCUGAUAGGGAAAAAAAUGUUCAAUUGGAACAAAAUUCGGGGGGUUUAGGGGUCUGAUAGGAACAAGCCUUAGUUUAGAGGCCUAAGUGAAUUUUCGCAACAAGUUUGAGUGUCUGUCGAUGACUUUGGCCUAUUUUUUAUGUCCUCUUAUGUUUGUUACUUGAAUCGAGGAUCUGAUAGAAAUAACCACUCUAUCUCUUUAAAGUAGGUGUAAGAUCUGUAUACUCUUUCCAGACAUCGCUUUUGGGAAUUAUGCUACGUUUGUAGUUGUUAUCAAUCAAUGGAUUGUAAAAAACAGCCUCUCUAUCAACAAACAUCAGUAUUUCCUAUUUUAUGACUCCACUUUUUAAAAUUUAUAAAAUAUUAUAAUAAUGAUAAGGGAUAGGGGACUAUACUAGGUUUGUAGUGGUUGUUAACGAUAAAAGAUCUAUCAAAAACUGCCUCUUUAUCCAUAAUUUUUCCUAUUUUAUAACUGUACUUUUUAAAAUAUAUAAAAUUUUAAAAUAAUGGUAAGGGAUAAACGUGCAACAUACGUUCUCAUAGACUACCUGAAGGAAAUAAGUGAAAAAUAAUUUGUAAACACUUUUAAUGAAAGACAAAAAGUUCAAAUAAUAAAUCUAAACUCCUUCAAACUUUUAAUAUAGUAUAUAUAUAGAUAAACAUAAUAGGGUGGUGGAGAGUUUGGCAAUGGCACCUGACUACGUACGUAUGUAACUUUAAAGUUUAAACCGAUAAUAAGUCUGGCCCAGCCCAGCCCACUUAGAAAAAUCUGUCCGGUUUAUCCGGUCUGAUCAACCCAAAUUUCAAAAAUAACAACUCUGUAGUCUUAAUUAUAACUUAUAUAACAAUAAUUUUAUAAUUACAAAAAAUAACAAAUUGUAUUUGUAUUUAAGUAAAAUGUUGCUAUAUAAAUACAUAUACAAAUACAUAUGUAUUACUCAUAAAUACAUAUGCACAACUAAAAAAUACAUAUUCUUCUAGUUGUAGUAUAUUUUAUUUAAAGUUGUACAUAUAUUGAAUGGUGCUAUGUUUUAUAAAUUAGUAUAUAACUAUAUAUAUAGUGUGUGUGUAUAUUGCAGUGUUAUAUUGUAGUAUAUUUUAUUUAAAGUAGUACAUAUAUAUUGAAUCACUAUGAAAUGGGUAAAAUAUUGUUACUUUUGCUAUAAGUUGGAAUUUUACAAAAGUGUUGCUAUUUAUUGUAAUUAUAGUUUUAAGGAUGAUAGUUUCUAUAAUUUUUCCUUUAUUUUUUGGUUGGGCCCGGUUAACCCGGCUUGGACCAAGCCCGGUCAAGGCCAGCCGGUUAACCGGCCCGGUUAAUUUUUUAUUUUUUUUUUAAAUUUGGAUUUAAUUAUAACUUAGUUUUAAUAUAUUAUUAAUUUACUAUCAAGUAUUAUUAAUUUAUAUAUGUGUAUAUAUAUCUUCUAAAGACGUAUAUAUUUAACGUANNNNNNNNNNNNNNNNNNNNNNNNNNNNNNNNNNNNNNNNNNNNNNNNNNNNNNNNNNNNNNNNNNNNNNNNNNNNNNNNNNNNNNNNNNNNNNNNNNNNNNNNNNNNNNNNNNNNNNNNNNNNNNNNNNNNNNNNNNNNNNNNNNNNNNNNNNNNNNNNNNNNNNNNNNNNNNNNNNNNNNNNNNNNNNNNNNNNNNNNNNNNNNNNNNNNNNNNNNNNNNNNNNNNNNNNNNNNNNNNNNNNNNNNNNNNNNNNNNNNNNNNNNNNNNNNNNNNNNNNNNNNNNNNNNNNNNNNNNNNNNNNNNNNNNNNNNNNNNNNNNNNNNNNNNNNNNNNNNNNNNNNNNNNNNNNNNNNNNNNNNNNNNNNNNNNNNNNNNNNNNNNNNNNNNNNNNNUAGUAUAUAUUUUAUUUAAAGUAGUACGUAUAGUCGUAUAUAUUGAAUGUUACGUACAUAUGAGUAAUUGUGUAUAUGUGUAUAUAUUUUUUAAAUUCUAAUGUAGUUUAUUCUAUCUAUAUAGUGUAUAUAUAUUGUUUAACGUAUUUAAAAUGUAUAUAGGUGGAUAUAUAUAGUGUAUAUUGGAUUUUUUUUUUAUUUUUGAUCGGGUUUGACCGAUUUCUUAAUCGGGUUUGAUCGAAUUUAGGUGGGUUAGACCGGGUUGAGUUUAGUGGGCCGGGUCAGGGUUAUUUUUAAAAAUUUUACUGUUUAACUCGAAACCGGCCCGACCCACUUAACCCCAACCUGGAUCCGGCCCCACCCACAAAUCGGCUAAUUUUAAUGGGCUGGUUCCGGGUUGAUCUGACCCGGCCCACUUAACACCCUUAACUCAUCAUUAUUUAAUGGCCAAUCACUUGUCAAGCCCCUAAAUUUGACACCCGCUUUUAUUGGCACCUCAAGUAAGCAUUGUUCAUUUUAAAUAGAGAUAAUACAUAAAUAUGACCCUAAACUUGACAUCAAAUUAUAACUUUGACUUUAAACUUUGACAGUGCAUAAAUAUGGCCUUUAACUAUUCAAAGCUGCACAAAUAUGGCUUUUAAAUGACUUUUCACUAUUAUUUUUUCAUUAUUUUCGGCUCAAAGAUAAAAAUGGCAUCUAAUUUCUUUUGUCAUUGUGGAAAAAAAAUAAUAUUGAUGAUUUAUUAAUUAGGUGGUCAUCCUCAUACGAAAAAAUCGCACGGGUAUCUAUAUAUAUUAUAAAGCAGAAGGCGAAUUUAAGUUAUAUAAUAUAUCUAAAUAUAAUUUUUAAUUUAUUUAAAUAUUAAAUUAAAGAUGAAACUAUACUAAUAAUAAAAAAAAUUAUAAUUUUAAUAAAACGUUAUUAAAUUAACGCUAUUAUGGAUAGUAGUAGUAUAUUAAAUUAAUGUUAUCAAAUUAGCGUUAUUAAAAUGUUAUUAAAUUAACUUUAUUAAAACGUUAUUAAAUUAAUGCAUAGGCGGACCUACGUGGUUGCCAUGGGGUUCACCCGAACCCCCUCGGUAAAAAAGUUACGUUGUAUAUAUAAGGUAGAAAAUCUAUAUUUAUGUACAUAUAUUAAUGUUAAACCACAUGAAACAAGACACUUAGUUAGCCCAGUGGUGUUAUUUGCUCUUCUUGGGCGCUUCUUUCAACCUACUGCGCGGGUUUGAUACUUGUUAGUGGCUGUUCUUUUUUUGUUUUAAUAAUAAAAAAAGCUAGGUGUUGUUGUAUAUAGAAUAAAUUAAAUAAUAAUAAUAAUAAUAAUAAUAAUAAUAAUAAUAAUAAUAAUAAUAAUAAUAAAAAGUAAAAAAAGGACGCCAUUUUAACACAAAACUUUGACAGUGCACAAAUAUGACCUUUAACUAUUCAAAACCAUACAAAUAUGACCUCCCUACAAUUCAGCCCUUUUAACGACGUGACACUGUGUGAUUGGAUUACUUUUCCACGUAGGCGCGAGUGAAACUCACGCAUGAGGGUUGCAAAAUCGGAGGUCAUAUUUGUUCAGGUUUUGAAUAGUUAAAGGUCCUAUUUGUACACUAUCAAAGUUUAAGAUCAAAGAUAUAAUUUGGUAUUAAGUUUAGGGUCAUAUUUAUGUAUCUCUUUAAAAUAUAUAAACUAGUGUCCCACAGUGUACAUUUUGAUACCUUUGCUGACUUGACACAUUAUUUUGUUACACAAACUUUGAGCACGUGGAGAACUUAAAUUACUAUUUAUUAGUGUAAUAUACUAAUUUUUAUUUUUAUUUUUAUUUUUUUAUUUUUUUAUUUUUUUAUUUCUUCUUCUUCUUUCUCUCUCCCCCCAACACUUUCUCCACCCCUACCCAUCUUCACCUUUCUCCGCCUCUCAUGUUGCAUAUCCACUUUGCAACCAUGGCUACUUCCUUUUGUUUUUCAUUAUCAACUUCAGUUUUGCAUUAGAUUUUUCCUUACAAUAAUGAUAUACAUGAAAAACGAAAAGAAAAAGAAAAGCGAUUUAUUAAAAUUAAUACUAUUAAUAUGAUGCAUUGAGAUUCAAACUCAAUGUUGUAUCCAUAUAAAGACAUCUUAGGCCAUAAAUCGAUAUGACAUGAACCCAAUAUCUUAUCAUUCUGGUGCAUCAAAACUCUAACUCGAUGUCUUACCCAUUUAGCGCGAUGAAAUUUUAAUCCGCCGUCCUACCGUUAAUCAAUAACACAAUAGGGCACGUUAUACGACUCACCCACAUGAUGCCGUUAAAAUAAUACCACCCCUAAUUCUCGUACAAUUAUUAUCAACUUCACUAGAGUUCACGCCAUAAUAACGAACAAUAUUUAUUUUUGGCAAUUGACAGCACAAGCAUGAUUUGCUAAGUAUCAAAUAAGACUUGGAUCAUAUUAAUUGAUGACUUUCCAGAGUGUUCAGAAAUAAUACUUCACAUAAUAUAUGAAUAUACCCUAACCGAAGAUCAUAUUCAAGUAAUUAAGUGGAUAAUUAGAUAGAAAUAAUCUUUACCAUUAAUUACUAGAUUUUCAUUCUCUAGUAUUGGCCUAAAAACUUCAUGUUGGUGAUGAUGUUUGUCUUAUUCACUGGAAUAAUCGUGCAAAUCAAGAUUCAGAAACAUAGUCUACUUGAAGCCAUCCAUUUACAAUUAUGCAAUAGUAAAUAAUAAGUCCCAUAAGACAAAUUCCACCAUUAUUCAAUUUAGUGGUUGUAGAGUGUAAACUUACCGACAAAUCUCUCUAAAGUAUUUAUUCAAUAAUAGAGUUUCGUGCUGAUAAUGUGUUAUAAACUAAUAUAAAAUAAACAAGAAUAAUAAGGGAGAGAAGAGAGGAGAUUCUUUAUUUCUCCUGAAGAAUGAGGGAUGAUAGACAUUAAUGAAGAAAACUUCUCUAUCUAUAGCGAAAAAGUUUGUCAUAGUUUCUCUCCAAACAUUGUUUUAUUUUUAUUCUCCUAUUUGCCCAAAGAAAAUAACAAAAACAUCAAAUACAUCAUCCAAAUAAAAAGACAAUAACUUUGGAAAUAGAUGAUCUAAAACUUUUCACCCCCAAUUUUCAUAGCAAACUUUCAAGUUCAAAAGUCAAAACAUGUUGAAUUUGAAGUUCCAUCAGGAAGAGGUUAAUAAAUUCUAGACCUGACACCUCCUACAUCAUUCUCAUAAGCCAUCCAAAUAAAUCAUUGUAUAGUCGAAGAAACGUCAAAGAAGAGAUGGGAUAGCUCGCAAAGGUUGGACUUUCGCUAAAGUUAUACCAAAUCUCUCUUCCAUGUCUAAUUCUUCUGGAUCAUUAAUGUCUGACUCAAGUUUCCAGUUGAAGGAAUUCAAGAGUGACCCUAACAUUACUGAAACCAUUCUCAAUGCCAGUGACAAGCCAGGGCAUAUUCUUCUUCCUGCGCCAGAUGGGAUUAGUCCAAAAUCUUGCCCUCUUACAUCCAAUUUCGAAUUCCAAAACCUCUCAGGCUUGAAUACUAAAGGAUCCUCCCAAAAAUUAGAAUCACGACCAAUCUCCCAGACAUUGAUUAGUACCUGUGAGUAAGUAUGUCAAAUGGAUGUGCUUGACUAAAUUUGAAUAGACUAAUUAAUAAAUAAGGAAAUCACAUAAAUGCAUUUUUCAAAAAAGUUACAUUCAAAAGUUACAACUUUUCUAUGAAAAUCACAUUAAUAUAAUUUUUGUUCAAAAUUUAAACUUUUAAUUACAUCCUGUAUAACUUUUUUAUAUUUCUAAAAUAUCUCUUUCACUAAAAAAUAAUAAACGAGAAACUAUUCUCUCACCUAAAAUUACUAUCUUAAGUACAUAUCACAUUCUCAAAUCUUUUUUUUUUGUCAAUAAAAAGUGACCUGUUAUCAUACCAACAGAUCAAAGAAACACGACUAAAAGUAUCUAUAAUCUUAUCAACCUAGACUUAUUAUCAUAUUAGUAGACCUCAAGUAUCAAGUAAUUACAUAAGUCUGUGAUCUCUCCCUAAUUACACAUUUCACUUGCUGAGUUAAAAUUACUAUUUACACUUGUCUUGAUUAAAAUUUUCUAUUUUUUAGGCAGCCAAAUGGGAUAGAGAACAGCUUCAUAAGCAGCUACUAAUAUCUCCUCCUUGCAUUUGUUCCAGUUUUGCUAUGUAUCCGGAUAAACAUUUCCACCACACCCUGACAUGGGAAGGAUUGUCCUAGCCACUGCCAGAUGUUAUGCCACACCUUUGUACCCCAAAAACACGUAGUAAACAGAUGAGCUGCAUUUUCCCGAACUACACAAGUACACAGACUAUAAUCCGUUGAAUCAUUCCCUAAUCCCAUCUUCUCCACUCUAUCUUUGGUAAGUAACCUUCCAAACACUGCAGGCCAACUGUCUGUGUUUUGGAACUGAUGCUCUAUUCCAUAUUAAGUUUGCAACCUCAAACUUUGGCAUGCUUCCAAUAAAUUUCAAGUAGCUCAAAGUUACAGAAUACUUGUCUUUCUCUGUUAAACAAUAACGACCAUUACUAUACCUAUCAUGCAUUUUGAGUUUCUUAUUAUGUAACAUCCUACAAUACCAGUUGCAAUUAGUUGGGAAUGAUCUUAUACAACUCAUUACAGCAUGAUAUUGGCCUGUAUUAACUAGCAUUUUCAGGCUUCUUCACUUUAGGAUCAAGGCAAUAACUAUGACACUAAUUUGCCUUGCCUCAACAUUUUUCCAGACUGCAUAAACUCCAAAAUAAUAUUUGUGAUAUGUUCACCCACCACUUCCUAAGAAUCUCUAAAGAAACCACUGCUAUAUCCAUCCAGGACUGCACUCUUGGUAGUUUUAAUUCCAAACACUGCAUCUUUUAUAUCUUUUUUUGAGUGAACUGGAUAAGCAACUAAACUUGUUGUUCCACAGAUAGAACAAGUCAACGCUUUAAGAAUCUAUCUAAAGUUCUUGGCCAAGUGACAUUCCCUUCCUCUCCUAGCAAUCUAGAGAAAUAUCUCACAAAGAUUUCAACAAUCUCACACUGAUUAGUGUGCACCUGCUUAUGUGCAUCCUGCAUUUUAGUGAUUGCUUGAUCCAACCUCCUUUUCUUGAGUAUAGAAUAAAACAAUAGGUGUUAUCAUCUCUAAGCCUGAUCUAUGUUGCUUUACUCUUUUGCAGAAACAUCAUUUCUACCAUGUAGCUCACUCUUCAAAAAGCUUUACGGGUUUCCCCUUCUAUUUUUUGUAAUUGCUUAUUUGGUGGAUCUGCCUGUAGUUUAUCCUGUGCCUCUUUCAACUUCCAUUUAAAAAUAUUAUCCUCAUUUUUCAAACUACUAAAAUGUUAGCCAUGUGACUUCCUGAGGUACAUUUUUAGCAACUUUAAUUUCUAAACAACCUGGUACAUGUAGCAACCCUGAACCUGCCUUUGCCAGUAAUUCAGAACAAUAUUUAUGAACUUGUCAUGCUUGAUUCAUAUAUUUCAAUACUUGAAGCUUGGCUUCCCUCUUACGGAAGUACCAACAGACCUAACAUAAAUUAGACUAUGCUCACUCCUACAAUCUGCCAUUUCAUCUGCCCAUUCCCUACUAUUAAAAAACCAAUAAAUUUUCGAACGCACUCUAGAACUUGUUCCUUUAUCUUUCCCAGUAUAAACACACCUAUCACCAUCAUCUCCAGCUUACAAGUAUCCAAACAGUCUUAGAAAUCACGGACCUCGGGCAAAUUUACUAGAUACCACCUAUUCUAUCAUUAGUGUGCAACAUAUUGGUAAAAUCACCAAGUAUAAGUCAUGGUGUAGUCAUACUUGUUCUAACCUGAGACAGAUAGGACCAUAAUUCCUUCAUUUCUUGCCUUCAUUCUGAUCAUACACAAUUGUACAAUAAAUCUCUUUCUGCAAUGUUAUAUUUGUAAUACCCCGUACGCUUGUAAGCUAGAAAUCGAACCUUCGUUCCUACGAGACUAAACUCUUUUCCCGUGAUUCAUAAAUGGAUCCAUGUUUCAUGAUCAUUAACCUAGUGUGAAUAAAGGUUAUGAGGCAGGAAAGAUGUUCAGAAGUGUCAUUAGAGUAAAGUGAGCUAAGAACCUUUGAUUCAGACAAUUUUUGGUGUUCGAUUUCACAAGAAUCAUCUUUGAACGAGUAUAACAUUAUGUGUUUGUGGAAUUUGGAAGAUCAAAAUCAAUAAAAUUGUAGAUAAUUGAAUUAUCUUUCCAAUGAUACCAAUUUCGCCUAAAUCCAACACCCGAGCAAAAAGUUAUGGCUUUGCAAAGGGGAAUGCGUCGCCUAACAAUCGCAAACGUUCACUGGAAAGGGUUUUCGAUGGGGUGUGCAACGCAAACCUUAAGAUUUGCCAUAGGGUGUGCGAUGUAAACCUUAAGGUUUGCCAUAACUUAUGCAACGCAAACCCCAUGGUACAACGACCUAGACAUUUUGUUUUGAGUCAUUUGACACCUCUUAAAUGUCCCUAAACAUAACUUCACAAAAUUAAACAUUAACGGUUCAUCAUCUAAAACACAAGAGGAGAAAAAACUAGGGUUCGCACAAUCAAUCUUGAAGGUCAAAUAUUUCCGCAAUUUUGUCAUCGUUAAGGUAUGUUAAAUGUUCAUCCAUGGUUCCUUUCAACCCAUGGAGUCCAAGAACCCAAUUUCAAAUUCAAAGCGAUGAUAUUUACAUGUUAUUAUGAUUUUAACCAUGAAUUCCCAUCAUUUUUUAUUUAUACCAUGUUUUGCACGUAAUUGUUGUUGUUAUUGAAUCCCACACGUUUGAAUGGUGUUGUUCGCUGAUUUAAGCCUUAAUUGGUGAUGUUAGUGUUGAAAUCAUGCUAUUACUAUAAGUUUUAAAACUGUUCUCAUGCUUAGCUUAAACCAUGAAUUGAAAGUGUUUGAUUAAAUGCCUACAAGAAUGAGUUUUGAAUAAAUGCUUACAUAUCAUGCCCUCAAAGUUUUUAAUUCUAUUUUUCUAUUAUUGCUAUCGAGACCUGGGGGUUUGAAUACCUAAAAUCUAGAUGCUUACCUAGUUUUCAGUAUCUAUAGGGUGGUUACAGAAUAGUUACAAGCCCUAUCAUUUCAGUCAGUAUUUUAAAAAGUUAAACAUAGUUCAGUCCAGUGUUUAGUGUCUUUCAGUUGGGAGUAAGAUUUAGCACCGAGCGAAUGCAGGGAUAACAGCUCCCCUAUUAGUUAGGCAGUGUUGUUUGUAGCAGUUCCUGUAUUCCAGACCUACGUAGCCAGCGUAGGAUAUGAGGAGUAACCCGUCAGUUAGGUUUGACUACCUCUCAGGGGUCACCCGUCAGUUUAUGCUUAACAACCCUAGUCCUUUGGGAAAACACUUUAGUGGAUCCACAUAGCCAUUUGUCAGUACUCGUGGCACGAUUUUGACACCCUUUUUAACUGGGGUUACAAGUUGGACCCUAAUUAGAUUGUUGAGGCAUGUCGGUUAGAUAAUUGCUCCCACAAUCUCAGUCCAUAAUUCAGCUAAGAAGUCAGUUUCAGUUUUGCUUGACCAUAGCAUACAAAUAUCAAUUAUCUGUGUAUCAAUAUUUAGUAUUUCAGUUUAUAGACUAUAUUCAGAACAUGUUUUAUGCUAGGUCAUGCAUUUUCAGUCUUUACAAAAUUUUAUGCAUUCUUACUAAGUAUCUCAUAUAUCCAUUCUGCCAGUUAUUACUCAUGCGUCUAAACCCAUGCAUAUUAGACUAACCUCAUAUAGCGUACUAGUAUAUUCAAAGUACUGACCUUAUACUCAUUUCUUAAGCUAUGAUGUUUAAUAUCAUAGGUUCGGACAAUCAGUUUCCUGACCGUGCGUAGAUAUUCUAGAUUUUCAGCAGUAGUAGUGGUGAGUCCUCAUGCUUUGAGGACAUGGUUUAUUUAUUUUAGUUUACCUUAUCAGUUCAAUAUUUCUAUUUAGUUGGAGUUAGUUGGGGGCUUGUCCCAUCAACUCCACAUUCAAUCAGUUUAGAGGCUUACAAACUAGUACAAAUAAUUAGUUUCCAGUUGUUACUAUAAACCGUUUUAUCAUUAUUGUUUUACAAACAUUAUCAAAACUAUGAUUAAAAAAUCUUAAGGAAUUUUUUUAGUUAAAUUCCGUAUGUGUCUUUGCUAUUUUAUUUUAUUCUCACACCAAGGACUAGCUCAUGGGUUAGCUUGUGGUCCUUCGGGGCUGUAAGCACCAUGUAGCAUCCAGGGUAUACUCUCGGGGUGUUACAAACUUAGUAUCAGAGCCUAAAAUUUUAAAAUGUCCUAGGUAGUCUGAAAGCCGCGUUGAGUAGAGUCUUGUGCAUAAGUGUGAAGCGCACCACACUUAUUAACAAGAGGCUACGAAAUGCUUUAGGAAAAGUUUUCCUUCUUUCAGUGUUCAUAUCAUGUGAAUGAGCAUGAGCUCAAUUUAAAAUAUUUGUAUAAUUCAAUCUUCUUUCAAUUUACAAAGUAUGCCUCCCAGAAAGACAAACAGAAGAAGAAAUAGAAACCGGCCAACACCAUCGCUCGUUAAGGAAGAUCCCUUGAAUGAGCAUGUUUCUCAUGCAAAGUUCAGAGUUGCAUUCACUACUCUAGCUCACUCAGUGGCAGCUUAGAAUAUUUGGCCAGCUGCUGUCACGGCCAACCUAGUGGCCAACACUGCCGUAGCUAGGAUUUCAGACUUCACCUAAAUGAAUCCUUUUUUUUUUUCAGGAUCCAAGUCUGAUAAGGAUCCACAGGAAGUCCUUGACAUGAUUCAGAAGAUGACUAACAUUAUGAGUGUGACUUCUACUGAGAGUGCUAAAUUGGCUGCUUAUUAGCUGCAGGAUUGACACAAGUGCAACUAGCUCAAAACCUUUCAUACGUAGCCAAGCUUGGGAGUUACAAAAACUCCAAGCCAUGUUCAUGUAGAUGGCCGUGUGUGAGUGUGUAAUUAAUUCAUCUGAGGAAUUCCAUGUUUUGAAGUGUGAAGAGGGGAUUUGAAGUGUAAGUUUAUUACGCUUCAAAAAAAAAUGUAGUAGCACUUUUUUUAUUACAUUCCAAAGCCACCCAAGACCAAGGCUAGAAUAGUCAUUUUCCUUUUAUUUUGUGAAGUACUAUAUAUAGAAAAUAAUAGGGCUAUUUCUUGGACUUAGUUCAUUAUUGAUAUUUCACUGCACAAGUCUUGUAAUAAUUUAAGAACUUCUCUCUCUUGUUCUUGAGAGUGAACCCAAAACUAGAGAACAAAGUUUAGUAACACUUUUGUUGUUCUUUGGCUAGAAACUUGGGGUCUUGAGGUUCAUGAGUUCCUCUUCAUUUAAGUAAGAAUUUGGUGUAAAUAUCUUUUAGUCUUAGGGUCCUAAUCUUCAUGUUAGGGUUCUUAGAUUCUAGGAUAUUUUGUGUCAAAUUACUAUCCAUUAUUUUUUAAUCUUGUUGUUUGUGUGUUGAUAUCGUGAAGCCGUGUGGGGAUCUUUCGAUUCACUAUAGUUAUUGCAAUCUUAUGUUAUUUAUCUAUCUUGUUGAAUGUUGUUGUUGUUGCCUUAAAAACCUAGAGAAGCCGAGUGGGGCCUUUGAUUCUCUAGUGAUGUUGUUCUUGUGUUUGCUUGAAUCUCUCGAUACACACUCAAUCUUGUAUCAUUUAGUAUCAAAUCCAUAUUUGAUUUUAUUUUAACAAAAUCAAUUUUGGGCUUGAGAGUUAAAAAAAAAAA
RNAcentral lists this long non-coding RNA (34147 nucleotides) under Capsicum annuum. Its description in RNAcentral is "long non-coding RNA (CANN_LNC010934)". Lineage: Eukaryota; Viridiplantae; Streptophyta; Magnoliopsida; Solanales; Solanaceae. The record is from RNAcentral.